GACGAACGCUGGCGGCGUGCCUAAUACAUGCAAGUUGAGCGCUGAAGGUUGGUACUUGUACCGACUGGAUGAGCAGCGAACGGGUGAGUAACGCGUGGGGAAUCUGCCUUUGAGCGGGGGACAACAUUUGGAAACGAAUGCUAAUACCGCAUAAAAACUUUAAACACAAGUUUUAAGUUUGAAAGAUGCAAUUGCAUCACUCAAAGAUGAUCCCGCGUUGUAUUAGCUAGUUGGUGAGGUAAAGGCUCACCAAGGCGAUGAUACAUAGCCGACCUGAGAGGGUGGACGGCCACAUUGGGACUGGGGCACGGCCCAAACUCCUACGGGGAGCAGCAGUAGGGGAUCUUCGGCAAUGGGCGGAAGUCUGAACGAGCAACGCCGGGGGGGGGAAGGAGGUUUUCGGAUCGUAAAACUCUGUUGGUAGAGAAGAAAGUUGGUGAGAGUGGAAAGCUCAUCAAGUGACGGUAACUACACAGAAAGGGACGGCUAACUACGUG
RNAcentral lists this ribosomal RNA (497 nucleotides) under uncultured bacterium. Its description in RNAcentral is "partial 16S ribosomal RNA". It matches the Rfam family "Bacterial small subunit ribosomal RNA", at positions 28 to 507 of the family's 1533-position model. The record is from RNAcentral.